Molecule: transfer RNA, 87 nt
Filed under: Candidatus Peregrinibacteria bacterium
Lineage: Bacteria; Candidatus Peregrinibacteriota
Description: tRNA-Leu
Rfam family: tRNA
About the family: Transfer RNA (tRNA) molecules are approximately 80 nucleotides in length. Their secondary structure includes four short double-helical elements and three loops (D, anti-codon, and T loops).
Source: RNAcentral
GCCCGGGUGGCGGAAUUGGUAGACGCGCGGGAUUCAAAAUCCCGUUCCCGCAAGGGAGUGAGGGUUCAAGUCCCUCCCCGGGCACCA